UGUCUCUUCAGUUGCUUGUCACCGUCGGAGUCUCCGCCGUUGUUUACUUCGUCCGUCCGAUCCCCGAGUUCAUCACCGAGACUCACCGUGGCCUUGCCGUCUUUUUCGUCAUCCUCCUCCUUCCUCUCCUCCGUUACGUCUCCUUUCACAUACUUUUGUUUAUCCAUUCAUUUCUAGGUUCCAUCAUCGUCGCUUAGGG
This 199-nucleotide small RNA is filed under the name Arabidopsis thaliana (thale cress). RNAcentral describes it as "ATSL219080". The record is from RNAcentral. Lineage: Eukaryota; Viridiplantae; Streptophyta; Magnoliopsida; Brassicales; Brassicaceae.